GAUGAACGCUGGCGGCGUGCCUAAUACAUGCAAGUCGAGCGAACGGACGAGAAGCUUGCUUCUCUGAUGUUAGCGGCGGACGGGUGAGUAACACGUGGAUAACCUACCUAUAAGACUGGGAUAACUUCGGGAAACCGUAGCUAAUACCGGAUAAUAUUUUGAACCGCAUGGUUCAAAAGUGAAAGACGGUCUUGCUGUCACUUAUAGAUGGAUCCGCGCUGCAUUAGCUAGUUGGUAAGGUAACGGCUUACCAAGGCAACGAUGCAUAGCCGACCUGAGAGGGUGAUCGGCCACACUGGAACUGAGACACGGUCCAGACUCCUACGGGAGGUAGCAGUAGGGAAUCUUCCGCAAUGGGCGAAAGCCUGACGGAGCAACGCCGCGUGAGUGAUGAAGGUCUUCGGAUCGUAAAACUCUGUUAUUAGGGAAGAACAUAUGUGUAAGUAACUGUGCACAUCUUGACGGUACCUAAGCAGAAAGCCACGGCUAACUACGU
RNAcentral lists this ribosomal RNA (496 nucleotides) under uncultured bacterium. Its description in RNAcentral is "partial 16S ribosomal RNA". It matches the Rfam family "Bacterial small subunit ribosomal RNA", at positions 28 to 506 of the family's 1533-position model. The record is from RNAcentral.